CAGCCGCCGCGGUAAUACGAAGGGGGCUAGCGUUGCUCGGAAUUACUGGGCGUAAAGGGAGCGUAGGCGGAUCGUUUAGUCAGGGGUGAAAUCCCAGGGCUCAACCUCGGAACUGCCUUUGAUACUGGCGAUCUUGAGUAUGGGAGAGGUGUGUGGAACUCCGAGUGUAGAGGUGAAAUUCGUAGAUAUUCGGAAGAACACCAGUGGCGAAGGCGACACACUGGCCCAUUACUGACGCUGAGGCUCGAAAGCGUGGGGAGCAAACAGGAUUAGAUACCCCUGUAGUCCCUGUCUCUUAUAC
This 301-nucleotide ribosomal RNA is filed under the name uncultured bacterium. Its description in RNAcentral is "partial 16S ribosomal RNA". It matches the Rfam family "Bacterial small subunit ribosomal RNA", at positions 509 to 807 of the family's 1533-position model. The record is from RNAcentral.